GUUCUUGUAACUUAGUUGGUUAAAGUGCUUGCUUAGUUAGCGGAGGUCUUGAGUUCGACUCUCAAAAAGAGUA
This 73-nucleotide transfer RNA is filed under the name Nicotiana tabacum (common tobacco). It matches the Rfam family "tRNA". From Rfam's summary of the family: Transfer RNA (tRNA) molecules are approximately 80 nucleotides in length. Their secondary structure includes four short double-helical elements and three loops (D, anti-codon, and T loops). Further hydrogen bonds mediate the characteristic L-shaped molecular structure. tRNAs have two regions of fundamental functional importance: the anti-codon, which is responsible for specific mRNA codon recognition, and the 3' end, to which the tRNAs corresponding amino acid is attached (by aminoacyl-tRNA synthetases). tRNAs cope with the degeneracy of the genetic code in two manners: having more than one tRNA (with a specific anti-codon) for a particular amino acid; and 'wobble' base-pairing, i.e. permitting non-standard base-pairing at the 3rd anti-codon position. The record is from Rfam by way of RNAcentral. Lineage: Eukaryota; Viridiplantae; Streptophyta; Magnoliopsida; Solanales; Solanaceae.